GUUNCCGUAGGUGAACCUGCGGAAGGAUCAUUA
RNAcentral lists this ribosomal RNA (33 nucleotides) under Boletus aereus. RNAcentral's name for it is "partial 18S ribosomal RNA". Lineage: Eukaryota; Fungi; Basidiomycota; Agaricomycetes; Boletales; Boletaceae. The record is from RNAcentral.